RNAcentral lists this ribosomal RNA (254 nucleotides) under uncultured bacterium. Its description in RNAcentral is "partial 16S ribosomal RNA". It matches the Rfam family "Bacterial small subunit ribosomal RNA", at positions 524 to 776 of the family's 1533-position model. The record is from RNAcentral.
UACGUAGGGGGCAAGCGUUGUCCGGAUUUAUUGGGCGUAAAGAGCUCGUAGGUGGUUCGGUAAGUCGGAUGUGAAAUCUCCAGGCUCAACCUGGAGGGGUCAUUCGAUACUGCCGUGACUAGAGGUCGGUAGGGGAGUGUGGAAUUCCUGGUGGAGCGGUGAAAUGCGCAGAUAUCAGGAGGAACACCCGUAGCGAAGGCGGCACUCUGGGCCGAUACUGACACUGAGGAGCGAAAGCGUGGGGAGCGAUCCGG